UUACAAUUAAAGGAUAUUUCUUGCGGCUGAAUACGAGAACAGAAAUGUCCCUUAAUUGUUUGGU
Danio rerio (zebrafish) is the source of this 64-nucleotide non-coding RNA. The record is from Rfam. NCBI's taxonomy places the organism in Eukaryota, Metazoa, Chordata, Actinopteri, Cypriniformes, Danionidae.